RNAcentral lists this ribosomal RNA (467 nucleotides) under uncultured bacterium. Its description in RNAcentral is "partial 16S ribosomal RNA". It matches the Rfam family "Bacterial small subunit ribosomal RNA", at positions 28 to 506 of the family's 1533-position model. The record is from RNAcentral.
GACGAACGCUGGCGGCGUGCUUAACACAUGCAAGUCGAACGGAAAGGCCCUGCUUUUGUGGGGUGCUCGAGUGGCGAACGGGUGAGUAACACGUGAGUAACCUGCCCUUGACUUUGGGAUAACUUCAGGAAACUGGGGCUAAUACCGGAUAGGAGCUCCUGCUGCAUGGUGGGGGUUGGAAAGUUUCGGCGGUUGGGGAUGGACUCGCGGCUUAUCAGCUUGUUGGUGGGGUAGUGGCUUACCAAGGCUUUGACGGGUAGCCGGCCUGAGAGGGUGACCGGCCACAUUGGGACUGAGAUACGGCCCAGACGCCUACGGGAGGCAGCAGUGGGGAAUAUUGCACAACGGGCGGAGGCCGGAGGCAGCAACGCCGCGUGCGGGAUGACGGCCUUCGGGUUGUAAACCGCUUUCGCCUGUGACGAAGCGUGAGUGACGGUAAUGGGGAAAGAAGCACCGGCUAACUACGU